UCUCAUGAUCAGCGGCGGACGGGUGAGUAACACGUGAGCAACCUGCCUUUCAGAGGGGGACAACAGUUGGAAACGACUGCUAAUACCGCAUAACAUUGCCGAACGGCAUCGUUUGGCAAUCAAAGGAGCAAUCCGCUGAAAGAUGGGCUCGCGUCUGAUUAGAUAGUUGGUGAGGUAACGGCUCACCAAGUCGACGAUCGGUAGCCGGACUGAGAGGUUGAUCGGCCACAUUGGGACUGAGACACGGCCCAGACUCC
Molecule: ribosomal RNA, 257 nt
Filed under: uncultured Oscillospiraceae bacterium
Lineage: Bacteria; Bacillati; Bacillota; Clostridia; Eubacteriales; Oscillospiraceae
Description: partial 16S ribosomal RNA
Rfam family: Bacterial small subunit ribosomal RNA
Source: RNAcentral